AUCCAGUUGACGAAUCCCAAACAGGACGAAACACGCGCCUUGGAU
RNAcentral lists this non-coding RNA (45 nucleotides) under Schistosoma curassoni. The record is from RNAcentral. Lineage: Eukaryota; Metazoa; Platyhelminthes; Trematoda; Strigeidida; Schistosomatidae.